GUCCUUACAGGUAUGAAGAGAACAACAGUGUGACAUCAUAGAGAGUAACUGGGGUAGUUGGAAGGCAACUUGUACGAUGACGUAACCAAAGCCUAUGGCUACAUCACUGGGUAGUAGCAGAGCUGAGACCAGAAAUCUAAUCUAGAGCCAUUUCCACUGGACUGCCAUCUAAAUUGCAACAAUGAGCAAUAAUAAUGAUGAUGAUAAUGACCCACAAAGCUGGAAGUGGGCACUGGGGUUAGGAUCUGUGCCCUCAUCAGAGGCCCUGCUGAACCAAAAUGCAAGGUUGUCCUGGAGCCUUUGGAAUCAGACAGCCAACUCUACUGCUGUCAUGUAUUUGCUGUGUGACCUAAGGCAAGUGUCUCUGCCGUUCUGAACCUUGUUUACAAAACAGGAAUGACAAUAUUUACCUCAUAAGAUAAGAAUG
Molecule: long non-coding RNA, 427 nt
Organism: Talpa occidentalis (Iberian mole)
Lineage: Eukaryota; Metazoa; Chordata; Mammalia; Eulipotyphla; Talpidae
Exons: 3
Source: RefSeq, a predicted model, not a curated record